AUGGGAGGGAGACACACUUUAGUUGACUCUGUUGUCACUCAGAUAUCCUUGUAUCAUAUGUCCAUGUGGCUGAUGAACAAAACGUUCAUUGAGAAAUUGGAUAAACAUAGAAGAAGAUUCUUCUGGCAAGGGUGUACCAAAAAAAAGAGAUACUAUCUCGUGAGAUGGAAUAGGAUCUGCAGAUCCAAAGAAAAGGGUGGUCUAGGUAUUAAAGACCUGCGCAAGCAAAACAUUAGUCUGAUGGUGAAAUGGUGGUGGAAGCUUGAAACUCAAAGUGGGUUGUGGCAAGACAUCGUUCGCGCUCGUUACUUGCGGAAUAGAACGGUAGCUGAUGUUGUCCCAAGGUUUUCUGACUCUCUCUGUUGGAAAGCCUUACUGAAAGUCAAGGAAGUUUACAUGACUGGUAGAAAGAUCAACAUCGAAUCUGGAAACAUUGCCAGGGUAUGGAGUGACUCUAUUAACGGACUGCUUCCGUUUAAAGAGCAUUACUCUCAACUCUUUGACAUUUGCAAUAUCCCUGAAUGUACUAUCAAACAAGUGCUGGAUAUGGAUAGUGCUGCCUUUUUUAGAAGAAGACUCACUCCUGUGCUGGCU
RNAcentral lists this ribosomal RNA (594 nucleotides) under Triticum aestivum (bread wheat). RNAcentral describes it as "partial small subunit ribosomal RNA". The record is from RNAcentral. Lineage: Eukaryota; Viridiplantae; Streptophyta; Magnoliopsida; Poales; Poaceae.